AAAGAAAGUAAAUAAGGGCGUAUGGCGGAUGCCUAGGCUCAUGGAGGCGAUGAAGGACGUGAUAAGCUGCGUUAAGCCUUGGGUAGGUGCAAAUAACCUUUGAUCCAAGGAUUUCCGAAUGGGACAACCCAACUAUCAUCAGAUAGUUAUUACUGUAAUCAGUAAGGCAAACGGAGGGAACUGAAACAUCUUAGUACCUCCAGGAGAAGAAAAUAAUUAAAUGAUUCCCUUAGUAGUGGCGAGCGAACGGGGAGAAGCCCAAACCACGGUUGUAGCAAUGCAAUCGUGGGGUAGUAGGACCAUAAUAUUGUACUUUGAUUGUGAAUAGAAUGAACUGGAACGUUCAGCCAUAGCGGGUGAAAGCCCCUUAUAUGAAGCAAGAGAAGACAUAGUGUCAUCCUGAGUAACGCGGAGCACGAGAAAUUCUGCGCGAAUCAGCCGGGCCCAUCCGGUAAGGCUAAAUACUCCCAUGAGACCGAUAGUGAACCAGUACCGUGAGGGAAAGGUGAAAAGAACCUCGAUGAGAGGAGUGCAAUAGAUCCUGAAACCAUACGCCUACAAGCGGUCGGAGCUGCUUUAUGCAGUGACGGCGUGCCUUUUGCAUAAUGAACCUACGAGUUACCGUCACCGGCAAGGUUAAGGAUAUUGAUAUCCGUCAACCGUAGUGAAAGCGAGCCUGAAGAGGGCGUUUUAGUCGGUGGAGGUAGACGCGAAACCAAGUGAUCUACACAUGUCCAGGUUGAAGUCUCGGUAACACGAG
This 760-nucleotide ribosomal RNA is filed under the name Hoylesella timonensis. RNAcentral's name for it is "bacterial LSU rRNA". It matches the Rfam family "Bacterial large subunit ribosomal RNA", at positions 1 to 765 of the family's 2925-position model. The record is from RNAcentral. Lineage: Bacteria; Pseudomonadati; Bacteroidota; Bacteroidia; Bacteroidales; Prevotellaceae.